RNAcentral lists this ribosomal RNA (859 nucleotides) under uncultured bacterium. RNAcentral's name for it is "bacterial SSU rRNA". It matches the Rfam family "Bacterial small subunit ribosomal RNA", at positions 28 to 864 of the family's 1533-position model. The record is from RNAcentral.
AAUCAACGCUGGCGGCGUGCCUCAGACAUGCAAGUCGAACGCGAAAGUCCCCUUCGGGGGACAAGUAGAGUGGCGCACGGGUGAGUAACACGUAGGUAAUCUACCUUCGGAUGGGGAAUAACAACCGGAAACGGUUGCUAAUACCGCAUAAUGCAGCGGCACCUAAUGGUGACAGUUGUUAAAGCGGGGGAUCGAAAGACCUCGCGUCUGAAGAGGAGCCUGCGGCGGAUUAGCUAGUUGGUAAGGUAACGGCUUACCAAGGCGACGAUCCGUAGCCGGCCUGAGAGGGCGGUCGGCCACACUGACACUGACAUACGGGUCAGACUCCUACGGGAGGCAGCAGUCGGGAAUUUUGGGCAAUGGGCGAAAGCCUGACCCAGCAACGCCGCGUGAAGGAUGAAAUCCCUCGGGAUGUAAACUUCGCAAGAACGGGAAGAAUAAGUAGGGGACAAUACCCCCUAUGAUGACGGUACCGUUUGUAAGCUCCGGCUAACUCCGUGCCAGCAGCCGCGGUAAUACGGGGGGAGCAAGCGUUGUUCGGAUUUACUGGGCGUAAAGGGCGCGUAGGCGGCCAGCACAAGUCAGUUGUGAAAUCUCCGAGCUUAACUCGGAAAGGUCAACUGAUACUGUGCGGCUAGAGUGCGGAAGGGGCAACUGGAAUUCUUGGUGUAGCGGUGAAAUGCGUAGAUAUCAAGAGGAACACCUGCGGCGAAGGCGGGUUGCUGGGCCGACACUGACGCUGAGGCGCGAAAGCUAGGGGAGCGAACGGGAUUAGAUACCCCGGUAGUCCUAGCCUUAAACGAUGAAUGCUUGGUGUCUGGGGUUAUAAAGUCCCCGGGUGCCGUCGCUAACGCUUAAG